This 182-nucleotide ribosomal RNA is filed under the name uncultured bacterium. Its description in RNAcentral is "partial 16S ribosomal RNA". It matches the Rfam family "Bacterial small subunit ribosomal RNA", at positions 1319 to 1500 of the family's 1533-position model. The record is from RNAcentral.
CAUGAAGCCGGAAUCGCUAGUAAUCGCGGAUCAGAAUGCCGCGGUGAAUACGUUCCCGGGUCUUGUACACACCGCCCGUCACACCAUGAGAGCCGGUAACACCCGAAGUCAGUAGCCUAACCGCAAGGGGGGCGCUGCCGAAGGUGGGAUUGGUAAUUGGGGUGAAGUCGUAACAAGGUAUC